GACGAACGCUGGCGGCGUGCUUAACACAUGCAAGUCGAGCGGAAAGGCCCUUCGGGGUACUCGAGCGGCGAACGGGUGAGUAACACGUGAGUAACCUGCCCCAGACUUUGGGAUAACCCUCGGAAACGGGGGCUAAUACCGGAUACGACACAGCUUCGCAUGGGGUCUGUGUGGAAAGUUUUUCGGUUUGGGAUGGGCUCGCGGCCUAUCAGCUUGUUGGUGGGGUGAUGGCCUACCAAGGCGACGACGGGUAGCCGGCCUGGGAGGGCGACCGGCCACACUGGGACUGAGGCACGGCCCAGACUCCUACGGGAGGCAGCAGUGGGGAAUAUUGCACAAUGGGCGGAAGCCUGAUGCAGCGACGCCGCGUGAGGGAUGACGGCCUUCGGGUUGUAAACCUCUUUCAGCAGGGACGAAGCGUAAGUGACGGUACCUUCAGAAGAAGCGCCGGCCAACUACGUG
Molecule: ribosomal RNA, 462 nt
Filed under: uncultured bacterium
Lineage: Bacteria
Description: partial 16S ribosomal RNA
Rfam family: Bacterial small subunit ribosomal RNA
Source: RNAcentral